AGUGAACGCUGGCGGUAGGCCUAACACAUGCAAGUCGAACGGCAGCACAGUAAGAGCUUGCUCUUACGGGUGGCGAGUGGCGGACGGGUGAGGAAUACAUCGGAAUCUACUUUUUCGUGGGGGAUAACGUAGGGAAACUUACGCUAAUACCUCAUACGACCUACGGGUGAAAGCAGGGGAUCUUCGGACCUUGCGCGAUUGAAUUAGCCGAUGUCGGAUUAGCUAGUUGGCGUGGUAAAGGCCUACCAAGGCGACGAUCCGUAGCUGGUCUGAGAGGAUGAUCAGCCACACUGGAACUGAGACACGGUCCAGACUCCUACGGGAGGCAGCAGUGGGGAAUAUUGCGCAAUGGGCGAAAGCCUGACCCAGCAAUGCCGCGUGAGUGAAGAAGGCCUUCGGAUCGUAAAGCUCUGUUGUUAGGAAAGAAAAGAAGUAGGAUUAAAUAUGGACGUCUUGACGGUACCCAAUGAAAAAGCACCGGCUAACUACGUG
Molecule: ribosomal RNA, 492 nt
Filed under: uncultured bacterium
Lineage: Bacteria
Description: partial 16S ribosomal RNA
Rfam family: Bacterial small subunit ribosomal RNA
Source: RNAcentral